GCGGCAGGCCUAACACAUGCAAGUCGAGGGGCAUCGGGAUUGAAGCUUGCUUCAAUUGCCGGCGACCGGCGCACGGGUGCGUAACGCGUAUGUAACCUACCUAUAACAGGGGCAUAACACUGAGAAAUUGGUACUAAUUCCCCAUAAUAUUCGGAGAGGCAUCUCUCCGGGUUGAAAACUCCGGUGGUUAUAGAUGGACAUGCGUUGUAUUAGCUAGUUGGUGAGGUAACGGCUCACCAAGGCAACGAUACAUAGGGGGACUGAGAGGUUAACCCCCCACACUGGUACUGAGACACGGACCAGACUCCUACGGGAGGCAGCAGUGAGGAAUAUUGGUCAAUGGACGCAAGUCUGAACCAGCCAUGCCGCGUGCAGGAAGACGGCUCUAUGAGUUGUAAACUGCUUUUGUACGAGGGUAAACUCACCUACGUGUAGGUGACUGAAAGUAUCGUACGAAUAAGGAUCGGCUAACUCCGUGCCAGCAGCCGCGGUAAUACGGAGGAUUCAAGCGUUAUCCGGAUUUAUUGGGUUUAAAGGGUGCGUAGGCGGUUUGAUAAGUUAGAGGUGAAAUCCCGGGGCUUAACUCCGGAACUGCCUCUAAUACUGUUAGACUAGAGAGUAGUUGCGGUAGGCGGAAUGUAUGGUGUAGCGGUGAAAUGCUUAGAGAUCAUACAGAACACCGAUUGCGAAGGCAGCUUACCAAACUA
This 707-nucleotide ribosomal RNA is filed under the name uncultured Bacteroidales bacterium. RNAcentral describes it as "bacterial SSU rRNA". It matches the Rfam family "Bacterial small subunit ribosomal RNA", at positions 39 to 736 of the family's 1533-position model. Lineage: Bacteria; Pseudomonadati; Bacteroidota; Bacteroidia; Bacteroidales. The record is from RNAcentral.